ACGCACGCAUACGCAGACUUACGCCCACAUAUCUACUUCUUCUUGCGCUGCGUGUUUCGUCCCAGCGCGUUGCGCGCGCCGGAAGACGGCCAGCGAUGAACUUUAGUGCAGCGCCCAAGGGUACGGAGACGACCCCGUCACGCGUGCCAUUGAAGGGCCUCACGCACCUGCGCCGCAGCCGCAUCACUCAUCUUUCCACUCCCCACUACGCCCAAACUGCGGCGUCUGCAUCCGCAAGUUCACUGUUGUUUACCUCCACCUCCUCAGCCGCCCACCCAGCGGCGCGAACAUUCACGUCGCCGUCGUCCAGGGGGCAUCGCACCCCUGGCGCUUCGGCAGCCUCAACGUGGGAUGUGCAAAGGGCUGCGUCUGCGCGUUGCGCAAGUCGCUUCUCGUCACCGCAGGCUCUAGGACCUUAUACAGGUAGCGUCAGGAGUCCAGCAUGGCAUGGCCGCUCUCGGCUGGCCCUCGCCGCGUUCGGCAACGGCAGUGGCGGCGGAGACACAUCCAGCAGGGCACCCUGGCGCCACCAUGUGGCAGCUGUGUGCCACCGCUUACAGCAUACCGUGCAGGAAGCUGAGCAGAUACUGGUGCCUGCGGCAGCCUCCGCUGCCUCGGCACCAUCCAGCACCCCUCUCGACCAAAACAGUAGUGGGGGGCUUCCGUGCACACUGGCGCAGGCCAUGGAUGCACUGCAACGGUACCGCAGUGGCUGCAUGGCGGCCAUGCUGGAGCUGGAUGCGCUGCAGCAGCAGCACGGCCUCUCAGCCUCCUCAACGCCCCCUCCGACCGGGGAGGCGGAGGAUCCCACGAUCCUCUGCUCUCCGAUUCAGUCAGUGCACGGACGCACGGCCCACGAGGAGGACGACGCGGACACCUCGCCGCCCAGCCUCACGGACGCGGCGCAGCUCUACCGCCGAUACCAUCUCAUCAAAGCGCACCUCAACGACACCGUAGCGGCGCAGUCCGCGUACAUGCAAGAGAUCACGCUUCAGCAGCAGCUCCGCGAGCGUGAGGGGGUCAUGUGCGAGUAUAUGUGGACGGCGCGGCUGCUUGUGGAGCAGGAAGCGGCAGAGCGUGCGCACCUUGUCUCACUGUGGGCGUAUCUCAUCGCGUCCGCACCGGAGCGGCCGACGGCGUCCAAUGCACGUGCCGGUACCGGGUUCAAGCCUACGGCGGCAGCGCGUAUGCUGCACACCCUCGCCACAGCAGCGCCGCCUCCGCCAGAGCCAGCCAAGCUCGCCUCCUAUGUCGCCGCAGCUCCGCUGCCGCAGCCGCCCACACACGGCGACACCGCGGCUGCUCGUCUGGCGGCGCAGAACGAGUCUCUGCUGCACGAUCUUCACCAUUCGAACGAGCGCACUUACGCGCUGCUACACGAGCAACAGAAGGGCCUACAGGAAGCACAGGAGCGUGCGCUGGCGCAACUGGUUGCCCGCCACGAUGCGGAGAAGAGUGUUCUGGAGGCACGUGUGCGCGCGGCGCAGGAGGCAGCGGCCCAAUCACAGCACCGCCUUACCGAAGUAAGGCAGGCGCUCGCAGCUGCGCAGUCUGCCACCUGCGAGAUGCAGCGGUGCGCCGGCUUGACGUAUGACGGCAUGCACCAGCAACUGAAGGACACAACAAAGAAGAUGUGGCAGCUCCAGCUCGCGAACGAUCACCUCGAUGCCAAGGCGCGGGUGCUGGAGAGGGAGCUGGAGGAGCUGCGGUUGAGUCCCUCGUCGGUGCGAAACGGCCAAGGAGGCAACGGGACAGCGUCCUCUGCAGCAGAGCAGGCAAGCGGGUUGGCGUCGCUCUCGGCCGCCGGCGCAGCGUAUUCCAGCAACGGCUGCGCCAGAAAUGACGGUGGCAGCCGCACCGGAAGCGUGACCAAUGUCCGCCACGGACAGCCGCCCGCGUCAUCGCGUCGUGCAAGCGCACAGAGAGCAGCCGGUGGUGGCCGCAGGGGUGGCAAAGCCCAAUCCGUGAGCCCUGGUGUGUGGUGUGCGUACGAGGAGCGCAGCGGUCUCUUGACAAGCGCGACGCCAGUGAAGCAGCUGUCGCUAGGCUCCUCCCUCUCCUCUGGACACGCCCUCGCCGCGACGCGCUGGACACAGGAGCUGCAGCACGGGAAUGCACAUCCGCGCUCGCCCUUCAUUCGCAUGGCCCACUCGCAUGGAUCCUCGCUCUUGGUCGUCUCCGCCAACUCGACAACGACGGACACGGACGAGAACGCGUCGAACGUGAAUGAGCAUGAUGCCGCGUACGCACCCACGUCGAAUACGCAUCAAUGGAGACCCCCGUCAGUCACCGGUAAAGUGGGGGAUGACGACAAGGACAGCAUCAGCAGCAGCCGACAUCGACUGUUUGAGCGCACGCUGUCGCCGGCUCGCCAGCUCUCGCUCGACCGCACCCCUGCACAGCAAUCCUCUGUGGCCGCAGCGGCCUACCCAUUAUGCGUUGAGGCAUCGGAGAUAGACAACGAGCGUGACUCGGUCGCCCACAGUGACCCAUCACGGGCGCAACCGAAUGCAGCAAGGCACUGCUCCAGUGCGUCAGCGCAGACAAACGCGGCCGAGUCCCUCCGCAGCGCGACCCCUCGCCUCGGCGGGGUCCUUGCAACCAGCUCGGGCCGUUUGCAGGCUCCGUCCGACACCGCGUAUGAUGGUGGACACCCGCCCCCGCUGACGGUUCCGCACAUGGACAACUUGACGAAUGGCGAGAGAGCAACGGCCAAGUCCGCCGCCGCCGUCGCGGAGGGAGAAGAGGUGGAGCUGCAGCCUUCGUUAGCGUCGGUGUGCUCUUCCCCGAUAGCGUCCGGCUCACUUGCAAGAUUGGAGGCUGUGCGUCGCGAUAUCCUCCGCCACGCCGAGCGGCUGGAACGGGAAGUGCAGGUAGUGACCUCCCGUCACGAUGCAGCGCGACGACAGCGGCGGCGCGAGAGAGACACGCUGCGCGUGAACGCGUCCGUACACAGCGGUAGCAACAGCCCAGCCACCUCUGAGCCGCGCAACGACGAAGGUCGGGACACGGGUGUGGGCCAUGCCGACGACGCCGACUCUGAAGCGCUCAAUCGCGCCCUCGAGGAACUCCACAUUGAGCAGCAGGAGGACGACGACGAACUCGAGCGCUUCUACGCCCACGUCAACCAGAAGCGGAUGGAGCUGGAGCGGUGCCUGCGCUCUGUGGAGGACAGGCUGGCCUCCCUGCUAUAAGAAAUAUUCAGUUUCGCUUCCCAUCUUCCCGCGUACCCAUCCCUGACUACAGAGGACACACACACGCACACACCUCCCAGUGCGUGGUAUCGCAGGGUCCAGCACCACCACCACCACCACUCUGAGGGAGAAAGCCGAGAAGCAGCCGCACUUCUAUCCGUGUCAAUGUCCAACCACUUCUGGUGGUGACAGGGUCAGGCACUCACAGCGUGGGGAGAGGGGGUAGGUAGGGGAGGUCAGAGCGAUGUAUCUUGACUGAUGCCGUCGUCCAGGUUGUGGACGUCGCUGCGUCGGUUUGACCUGCAACAGUGAGCACGUCUGUGCCAUUCAUGCAAUGGGCAGAGCUUCGGCGUGGCUCUGACGUGCCCCUCACACUGCCUGCUGGUGGAGGAGCUGCUGUGAGACGGGCCGGCGAGGGGCAGAUCGUGGGUAAGGGUUUGAAGCAUAGGUGGUACUCAGGUAACCGAGUGGGCGCACUGCUGCACUGGCGUUUCCAGCGCUGCUUCGCACCACACGAUGGGGCCUGUGGCAGGGCCGAGGGGUCGAGCGGAGGUUGAGCUCGUGUUGUGUGGCAGAGAAAUGGUCACCUGCUGCAUAUAUAUAUAUAUAUAGGCCAGAAGUGCCCUUUUGGUGCGUGCGGCUCAAGUGAUACACGCGCACGCACGCGCACUUCGGCGCCCCCCCCCGAGCGUCACCUCCGUCACGCCACGAUAUGCUGAGCAUGCGCUCAUUGCGCUGCAGCGCCUGCUCUCUCUCUCUUUUCUUUCGCGCAUCCGUAUUCACCUGUUGUGUCUGUGUGUGUCUGUGUGUGUGUGUGUGUGUGUGUCGGCCGAAGGUUGUGUUCUUUCUUUUCGAUGUGUUGGAUAAGGCACCGCUGCUCAAGUCAAUGCG
Molecule: unclassified non-coding RNA, 4085 nt
Filed under: Leishmania donovani
Lineage: Eukaryota; Euglenozoa; Kinetoplastea; Trypanosomatida; Trypanosomatidae
Description: gene:LdHU3.24.1400(CDS-product:hypothetical_prote in_conserved)
Source: RNAcentral